Molecule: ribosomal RNA, 499 nt
Filed under: uncultured bacterium
Lineage: Bacteria
Description: partial 16S ribosomal RNA
Rfam family: Bacterial small subunit ribosomal RNA
Source: RNAcentral
GACGAACGCUGGCGGCGUGCUUAACACAUGCAAGUCGAACGGGCCCGCCCCUGUUUUUGGGGGUGGGUUGAGUGGCGAACGGGUGAGUAUCACGUGAGUAACCUGCCCCCUGCUCCUGGAUAACUGCUUGAAAGGGCGGCUAAUACGGGGUGUGCCGGCUGGUCCGCAUGGGCCUGGUCGGGAUAGUUUCAUCUUCGGGUGUUUCGGUGGGGGAUGGGCUCGCGGCCUAUCAGCUUGUUGGUGGGGUGAUGGCCCACCAAGGCGGUGACGGGUAGCCGGCGUGAGAGGGUGGCCGGCCAGACUGGGACUGAGACACGGCCCAGACUCGUGCGGGAGGAAGCAGUGGGGGGUAUUGCACAAUGGGCGGAAGCCUGAUGCAGCGACGUCGCGUGAGGGAUGGAGGCCUUCGGGUUGUGAACCUCUUUCUCCGGUGGUGAAGGCCCUGUCCGUUGCGGCGGGGUUGACGGUAGCCGGGUAUGAAGCGCCGGCUAACUACGUG